UACCAGACUCCUACGGGAGGCAGCAGUGGGGGAUAUUGCACAAUGGGGGGAACCCUGAUGCAGCGACGCCGCGUGGGUGAAGGAGUGCUUCGGCAUGUAAAGCCCUAUCGGCAGGGAAGAAGCAAGACGGUACCUGAAGAAGAAGCCCCGGCUAACUACGUGCCAGCAGCUGCGGUAAUACGUAGGGGGCAAGCGUUAUCCGGGUUUACUGGGUGGAAAGGGGGCGCAGGCGGCAGCGCAAGCCAGGGGUGAAGGCGCGGGGCGCAACCCCGGGACUGCUCUUGGAACUGCGCGGCUGGAGUGCAGGAGGGGGAGGCGGAAUUCCUGGUGUAGCGGUGAAAUGCGUAGAUAUCAGGAGGAACAUCGGCGGCGAAGGCGGCCUGCUGGACCGUGACUGACGUUGAGGCUCGAGAGCGUGGGGAGCAAACAGGAUUAGAUACCCCCGUAAAA
RNAcentral lists this ribosomal RNA (450 nucleotides) under uncultured bacterium. RNAcentral's name for it is "partial 16S ribosomal RNA". It matches the Rfam family "Bacterial small subunit ribosomal RNA", at positions 329 to 794 of the family's 1533-position model. The record is from RNAcentral.